CACGUAGGGCGCAAGCGUUGUCCGGAAUUAUUGGGCGUAAAGAGCUCGUAGGUGGUUUGUUACGUCUGCUGUGAAAACCUAGGGCUUAACCCUGGGCUUGCAGUGGAUACGGGCAGACUAGAGGUAGGUAGGGGAGAAUGGAAUUCCUGGUGUAGCGGUGAAAUGCGCAGAUAUCAGGAGGAACACCGGUGGCGAAGGCGGAUCUCUGGGCCAUUACUGACGCUGAGGAGCGAAAGCGUGGGGAGCGAACAGG
This 253-nucleotide ribosomal RNA is filed under the name uncultured bacterium. RNAcentral describes it as "partial 16S ribosomal RNA". It matches the Rfam family "Bacterial small subunit ribosomal RNA", at positions 524 to 776 of the family's 1533-position model. The record is from RNAcentral.